CUUGGCAACAUGGCCUCGUGCACUAGCUUCUGCAGCACCGACUGUCUUCACGUACCAGCUGUCCUCGAGUGUGAAUGCGUCAAGAAGUAAAGCGGAAACGUCAAAAGAGAUAUAUCUGCUCCGACUUGCCCACGCAGGGCCCGUGGAGAGGGGUAAUGAAUGGGCCUGUGUGUGCCAGAGUUUGCAGUAUAUGUGACUACAUGACAUCAUACUACAGUUCUGGGUCCCACCACCUGCAGAAGUUCUCUGAUGACUCUGCAGUGGUAAGGCGGAUUAGAGCAUAGGACAGUGAUCACAGACUUUGUGGAGUGGUCCAUGGCAAACCACCUACUCCUGGAUGUGGACAAAGACCAAGAAGCUGGUCACUGACUUCAGGAGGAAGAGGACACCAGUGGAAUCCAUCACCAUCCAGGACCUGGAAGCUGGAAGUAGUGGCCCAAUACAAGUACCUGGGAGUCUACAUGAACAACACGCUGGGCUGGAGGGACAACAGUGAUGCUGUUUACAAGAAGGGCCUGAGUAGACUCUACUCCAUUAUGGACAAUCCAUCCUAUUCACUACACCAAACAUUAGAGGGACGGAGGAGCUCAUUCUCCAGCAGACUGAUUCAGCUCCGCUGCCAUAGUGGACGCUACAGAACUUCUGUUAUAUCUUACUCUGUUCAGCUGUAUAACAGUCCACCUUAUUGUAAAACCUAAGCUACUAUGACCAAGUAGUUUCA
This is a long non-coding RNA of Mugil cephalus (flathead mullet), 721 nucleotides long. RefSeq lists it as uncharacterized. The record is from RefSeq and is a predicted model, not a curated record. The transcript has 3 exons. Lineage: Eukaryota; Metazoa; Chordata; Actinopteri; Mugiliformes; Mugilidae.